AUUGAACGCUGGCGGCAGGCCUAACACAUGCAAGUCGAGCGAGCGGCGGACGGGUGAGAAAUGUCGGGGAAACUGCCUGAUGGAGGGGGAUAACUACUGGAAACGGUAGCUAAUACCGCAAACCAUCAGAGGUGCCCAUAUGGGAUUAGCUUGUAGGUGGGGUAACGGCUCACCGAGGCGACGAUCCCUAGCUGGUCUGAGAGGAUGACCAGCCACACUGGAACUGACCCCCGCGCCAGCCUCCUCCGGGAGGCAGCAGUGCGGACUAUUGCCCACUCGGCGCAAGCCUGAUGCAGCCAUCCCGCGUGUGUGAAUAAGGCCUUCCGGUUGUAAAGCACUUUCAGCGUGGCGGCGUUCCCCGCAGAAGAAUCACCGGCUAACUCCGUGCCAGCCGCCGCGGUAAUAC
RNAcentral lists this ribosomal RNA (406 nucleotides) under uncultured bacterium. Its description in RNAcentral is "partial 16S ribosomal RNA". It matches the Rfam family "Bacterial small subunit ribosomal RNA", at positions 30 to 526 of the family's 1533-position model. The record is from RNAcentral.